AUUGAACGCUGGCGGCAUGCUUUAUACAUGCAAGUCGUGCGGCAGCGCGGGGCAACCUGGCGGCGAGCGGCGAACGGGUGAGUAAUACAUAGGAACGUAUCCUGAAAUGGGGGAUAGCUCGGCGAAAAGCCGGAUUAAUACCGCAUACGCUCCACGGAGGAAAGCAGGGGAUCGCAAGACCUUGCGUUUCUGGAGCGGCCUAUGUCUGAUUAGCUAGUUGGCGGGGUAAUAGCCCACCAAGGCGACGAUCAGUAGCUGGUCUGAGAGGAUGAUCAGCCACACUGGGACUGAGACACGGCCCAGACUCCUACGGGAGGCAGCAGUAGGGAAUUUUGGACAAUGGGGCAACCCUGAUCCAGCCAUGCCGCGUGAGUGAAGAAGG
Molecule: ribosomal RNA, 382 nt
Filed under: uncultured bacterium
Lineage: Bacteria
Description: bacterial SSU rRNA
Rfam family: Bacterial small subunit ribosomal RNA
Source: RNAcentral